GGCCCGGUAGCUCAGUUGGUAGAGCACUCGAUUGAAGCUCGAGGUGUCAACAGUUCGAAUCUGUUCUGGGCCACCA
This 76-nucleotide transfer RNA is filed under the name bacterium. Its description in RNAcentral is "tRNA-Phe". It matches the Rfam family "tRNA". Rfam says of the family: Transfer RNA (tRNA) molecules are approximately 80 nucleotides in length. Their secondary structure includes four short double-helical elements and three loops (D, anti-codon, and T loops). The record is from RNAcentral. RNAcentral also lists the same sequence under 1 other name.